AUACCGUGAACUGCGAAUGGCUCAUUAAAUCAGUUAUCGUUUAUUUGAUAGUACCUUACUACUUGGAUAACCGUGGUAAUUCUAGAGCUAAUACAUGCUAAAAACCCCAACUUCGGGAGGGGUGUAUUUAUUAGAUAAAAAACCAAUGCCCUUCGGGGCUCCUUGGUGAUUCAUGAUAACUUCUCAGAUCGCAUGGCUUUACGCCGGCGACGGUUCAUUCAAAUUUCUGCCCUAUCAACUUUCGAUGGUAAGGUAUUGGCUUACCAUGGUUUCAACGGGUAACGGGGAAUUAGGGUUCGAUUCCGGAGAGGGAGCCUGAGAAACGGCUACCACAUCCAAGGAAGGCAGCAGGCGCGCAAAUUACCCAAUCCCGAUACGGAGAGGUAGUGACAAUAAAUACUGAUACAGGGCUCUUUUGGGUCUUGUAAUUGGAAUGAGUACAAUUUAAACCUCUUAACGAGGAACAAUUGGAGGGCAAGUCUGGUGCCAGCAGCCGCGGUAAUUCCAGCUCCAAUAGCGUAUAUUAAAGUUGUUGCAGUUAAAAAGCUCGUAGUUGAACCUUGGGCCUGGCUGGCAGGUCCGCCUCACCGCGUGCACUUGUCCGGCCGGGCCUUUUCUUCUGGAGAACCUCAUGCCCUUCACUGGGUGUGCUGGGGAACCAGGACUUUUACUUUGAAAAAAUUAGAGUGUUCAAAGCAGGCCUUUGCUCGAAUACGUUAGCAUGGAAUAAUAGAAUAGGACGUGCGGUCCUAUUUUGUUGGUUUCUAGGACCGCCGUAAUGAUUAAUAGGGACAGUCGGGGGCAUCAGUAUUCAAUUGUCAGAGGUGAAAUUCUUGGAUUUAUUGAAGACUAACUACUGCGAAAGCAUUUGCCAAGGAUGUUUUCAUUAAUCAGUGAACGAAAGUUAGGGGAUCGAAGACGAUCAGAUACCGUCGUAGUCUUAACCAUAAACUAUGCCGACUAGGGAUCGGGCGAUGUUCUCAUUGUGACCCGCUCGGC
Molecule: ribosomal RNA, 999 nt
Filed under: Acrocalymma sp. DNW-2020b
Lineage: Eukaryota; Fungi; Ascomycota; Dothideomycetes; Pleosporales; Acrocalymmaceae
Description: SSU rRNA
Rfam family: Eukaryotic small subunit ribosomal RNA
Source: RNAcentral